CCCCUUUUAAAAGCACUCAGUGGGCCCUGACUCAACCCACUGAGCCGUCAAGAAAGGGCAGAGGAAAAACACUGCUUUUGGGUGAAGCAGCAGCAUGUUGUGUUGUUUUUGCUUCAAUCGGUGAUAUGACAGGG
RNAcentral lists this small nucleolar RNA (134 nucleotides) under Vulpes vulpes (red fox). The record is from RNAcentral. Lineage: Eukaryota; Metazoa; Chordata; Mammalia; Carnivora; Canidae.